This is a long non-coding RNA of Sphaeramia orbicularis (orbiculate cardinalfish), 136 nucleotides long. RefSeq lists it as uncharacterized. Lineage: Eukaryota; Metazoa; Chordata; Actinopteri; Kurtiformes; Apogonidae. The record is from RefSeq and is a predicted model, not a curated record. The transcript has 3 exons.
AUUUGAACCAAAACUAAAAUGUGCACUCAUUUAAAAAUUACAAGUGCAUUCAGUCACUUAUUCAAGAAUUAAACACACUCAGGUUUUUGUCCUAAAUAUAGGUAAAACCAGAUCUGAUUUAGCUGCUGUCCAACCU